GACGAACGCUGGCGGCGUGCUUAACACAUGCAAGUCGAACGGACAGGCCUGCUUUUCCUUGUGGCUUGCGGGUACUCGCGUGGCGAACGGGUGAGUAACACGUGAGUGAUCUGCCCCCAAAUUGGGUAUAAGCCUGGGAAACUGGGUCUAAUUCUCUAUUGGACUGCAGGGUGCUGCCGUUGGUGGAAAACGAUCUUCUAGUGGUUGGGGAUGCGCUCGCGGACUAUCAGCUUGUUGGUGGGGUAAUGGCCUAGCAAGGCGGCGACGGGUCGCCGGCCGGAGAGAGGGGACGGCGGCACUGGGACUGAGAGAAGGCCCCGACGGCUAGCAGAGGCAGCGAUGGGUAAGAUAGGGCCGUAGGCGGAAGCGUGAUGCAGCGAGGCCGCGAUGGAGAUGACGGGCUUCGGGUUGUAAACUACUUGGGACGGCGAGGAAGCCAAGUGGUUGGAAGGGUGGUGACGGUAGUGGUAGAAAAAGCCCCGGCUAACUACGUG
This 494-nucleotide ribosomal RNA is filed under the name uncultured bacterium. Its description in RNAcentral is "partial 16S ribosomal RNA". It matches the Rfam family "Bacterial small subunit ribosomal RNA", at positions 28 to 507 of the family's 1533-position model. The record is from RNAcentral.